Molecule: ribosomal RNA, 331 nt
Filed under: uncultured Pseudomonadota bacterium
Lineage: Bacteria; Pseudomonadati; Pseudomonadota
Description: bacterial SSU rRNA
Rfam family: Bacterial small subunit ribosomal RNA
Source: RNAcentral
UGCGUAGACGGUUAUGUAAGUCGGGUGUGAAAGCCCCGGGCUCAACCUGGGAAUGCCAUUCGAGACUGCAUAGCUAGGGUACGGAAGAGGGAAGCGGAAUUUCAGGUGUAGCGGUGAAAUGCGUAGAUAUCUGAAGGAACACCAGUGGCGAAAGCGGCUUCCUGGUCCAGUACCGACGUUCAGGCACGAAAGCGUGGGGAGCAAACAGGAUUAGAUACCCUGGUAGUCCACGCCAUAAACGAUGAGAACUAGACGUUGAGAGGGUAAGCCUCCCAGUGUCGUAGCUAACGCGCUAAGUUCUCCGCCUGGGGAGUACGGCCGCAAGGUUGAA